UAAGCUAAGCUAUAUUGGUAAAAAGACAGUUAGAUUAUAUAAAGGUAAAAAAUCUGUGAUAUCUUUUAGGGAAACUGGGAUUUGAUACCCCAUUAUUAGGCGUAAAUUUACCAGAGUACUACGAAUUUAAAACUCAAAGAGCUUGGCGGUGUUUUAGACCGGUUAGGGGAACCUGUUUCAUAAUCGACAUUCCGCGUGAGGCCCUACCUUUUYU
This 214-nucleotide ribosomal RNA is filed under the name Raphitoma pseudohystrix. RNAcentral's name for it is "partial 12S ribosomal RNA". The record is from RNAcentral. Lineage: Eukaryota; Metazoa; Mollusca; Gastropoda; Neogastropoda; Raphitomidae.